CCUACGGGAGGCAGCAGUAGGGAAUUUUCGGCAAUGGGGGGAACCCUGACCGAGCAACGCCGCGUGAACGAAGAAGUUAUUCGUAAUGUAAAGUUCUUUUAACAGGGAAGAAAGAGAAAUUUGAUGGUACCUGAAGAAUAAGCCCCGGCUAACUAGUUACCAGCAGCCGCGGUAAUACGUAGUGAGAGUGCGUUAUACGGAAUUAUUGGGGGAAAAGGGUGGUUAGAUGGCAUAGUAAGGCUUUUGGAAAAAUGCUGUGUUAAACCCAGUAGGGCAAAAGAUACUGGAAAGCUAGAGUAUGACAGAGGCAAGUGGAACUACAUGUGUAGCGGUAAAAUGCGGAAAUAUAAGUAAGAACACCAGUGGCGAAGGCGGCUUGCUGGGUCGAUACUGACAUUGAGGCACGAAAGCGUGGGGAGCAAACAGGAUUAGAUACCCGAGUAGUC
Molecule: ribosomal RNA, 446 nt
Filed under: uncultured bacterium
Lineage: Bacteria
Description: partial 16S ribosomal RNA
Rfam family: Bacterial small subunit ribosomal RNA
Source: RNAcentral